Molecule: ribosomal RNA, 409 nt
Filed under: Fusobacteriota bacterium
Lineage: Bacteria; Fusobacteriati; Fusobacteriota
Description: Fusobacteria bacterium partial 16S ribosomal RNA
Rfam family: Bacterial small subunit ribosomal RNA
Source: RNAcentral
UGGGGAAUAUUGCACAAUGGAGGGAACUCUGAUGCAGCAACGCCGCGUGCGGGAUGACGGCCUUCGGGUUGUAAACCGCUUUCAGCCAUGACGAAGCUUUUGUGACGGUAGUGGUAGAAGAAGCACCGGCUAACUACGUGCCAGCAGCCGCGGUGAUACGUAGGGUGCGAGCGUUGUCCGGAAUUAUUGGGCGUAAAGAGCUUGUAGGCGGUUUGUCGCGUCGAUAGUGUAAACACGCAGCUUAACUGUGUGCCUGCUGUCGAUACGGGCUGACGAGAGGAGGGUAGGGGAGAAUGGAAUUCCCGGUGGAGCGGUGGAAUGCGCAGAUAUCGGGAGGAACACCAGUGGCGAAGGCGGUUCUCUGGACCUUUCCUGACGCUGAGAAGCGAAAGCGUGGGUAGCAAACAGG